Molecule: ribosomal RNA, 119 nt
Filed under: Pteropus alecto (black flying fox)
Lineage: Eukaryota; Metazoa; Chordata; Mammalia; Chiroptera; Pteropodidae
Source: RNAcentral
GCCUACGGCCAUGCUACCCUGAACAAGCCCGAUCCCAUCUGAUCUCAGAAGCUAAGCAGGGUCGGGCCUGGUUAGUACUUGGAUGGGAGACCACCUAGGAAGACCAGGUGCUAUAGGCA